UACAGAGGUCCCAAGCGUUGUUCGGAUUCAUUGGGCGUAAAGGGUGCGUAGGCGGGGCUUUAAGUCAGGGGUGAAAUCCUGGAGCUCAACUCCAGAACUGCCUUUGAUACUGAGGAUCUUGAGUUCGGGAGAGGUGAGUGGAACUGCGAGUGUAGAGGUGAAAUUCGUAGAUAUUCGCAAGAACACCAGUGGCGAAGGCGGCUCACUGGCCCGAUACUGACGCUGAGGCACGAAAGCGUGGGGAGCAAACAGG
Molecule: ribosomal RNA, 253 nt
Filed under: uncultured bacterium
Lineage: Bacteria
Description: partial 16S ribosomal RNA
Rfam family: Bacterial small subunit ribosomal RNA
Source: RNAcentral